CAAAAAGUGUAUAUCCUACCAGUCUGCUAUGGCCCCUCCUCUUCCGAUAUGGGUGUAUACAGGAUGGUGCAUUAGACUUAAUGAUAUCUUAAACAACCCAGAAUUUGAAGGAGUGAAUAAUUACAGCAGAUCAAGACUGAAUUACCCACACUGACAGCUUCAAGCGAUGGCUCCCUGAAUUUCUUUGUUCCUGCUAAUGGAUUUGAGAAAUACAAUAUCCCAGCAGCUGCAACUGGCUAGAGAAACCUCCCUGAUGUCUCUACAAUGUCAAAAUAAUUUAUCAACUAACCAAACAGGAGGAGGCAGCUGUUGCUUUCAAGGGUAGGAUGAGGCCAUGAGAGUCAGACAAAAGAAAGGCAAAGAGGAAAGGAUUUAAUAGGAGACCACACUCUAGGAAGAGAGUGUUAUUGUGACAGAGGAACAAAUAUUGUCUUAAACCCCUAAUCUAGUUUAC
Long non-coding RNA from Pogona vitticeps (central bearded dragon), 454 nucleotides. RefSeq lists it as uncharacterized. Lineage: Eukaryota; Metazoa; Chordata; Lepidosauria; Squamata; Agamidae. The record is from RefSeq and is a predicted model, not a curated record.